This 787-nucleotide ribosomal RNA is filed under the name uncultured archaeon. Its description in RNAcentral is "bacterial SSU rRNA". It matches the Rfam family "Archaeal small subunit ribosomal RNA", at positions 88 to 879 of the family's 1478-position model. The record is from RNAcentral.
GCUCAGUAACCCGUGGAUAACCUGCCCUGCGGUGGGAAAUAACCCCGGGAAACUGGGGAUAAUGUCCCAUAGGCUACGGAUACUGGAAUGUUCUGUAGUUGAAAGAUUUAUCGCCGCAGGAUGGGUCUGCGCCCGAUUAGGUUGUUGUUGGGGUAACGGCCCAACAAGCCCUUGAUCGGUACGGGUUGUGGGAGCAAGAGCCCGGAGAUGGAUUCUGAGACACGAAUCCAGGCCCUACGGGGCGCAGCAGGCGCGAAAACUUUACAAUGCGGGAAACCGUGAUAAGGGAACUCCGAGUGUCCGUAAAUGCGGACUGUCCGUAUGUUUAAAAAGCAUGCGAAGAAAGGGCCGGGCAAGACCGGUGCCAGCCGCCGCGGUAAUACCGGCGGCUCGAGUGGUGGCCACUAUUACUGGGCUUAAAGCGUUCGUAGCUGGGUUGUUAAGUCUCUUGGGAAAUCUACCGGCUUAACCGAUAGGCGUCCAAGGGAUACUGGCAUUCUAGGGACCGGGAGAGGUGAGGGGUACUUCAGGGGUAGGGAGUGAAAUCCUGUAAUCCCUGGGGGACCACCUGUGGCGAAGGCGCCUCACCAGAACGGCUCCGACAGUGAGGGACGAAAGCUGGGGGAGCAAACCGGAUUAGAUACCCGGGUAGUCCCAGCCGUAAACGAUGCGCGUUAGGUGUAUCGAUGACCACGAGUCAUCGAGGUGCCGAAGGGAAACCGUGAAACGCGCCGCCUGGGAAGUACGGUCGCAAGGCUGAAACUUAAAGGAAUUGGCGGGGGAGCAC